GACGAACGCUGGCGGCGUGCCUAAUACAUGCAAGUCGAACGCAGUGGGGACGGGUGAGUAACACGUGGGUAACCUCCCAUCAGAGGGGAUAACACUUGGAAACAGGUCCUAAACCGAAACUGAUGGAUGAACCCGUGGUGCAUUUGCUAGUUGGUGAGGUAACGGCUCACCAAGGCCACGAUGCAUAGCCCACCUGAGAGUAUGACCCGCCACACUGGGACUGAGACACGGCCCAGACUCAUACGGGAGGCAGCAGUAGGUAAUCGUCGGCAAUGGACGAAAGGAUGAACGAGCAACGCAGCGUGAGUGAAGAAGGUUUUCGGAUCGGAAAGCUCUGUUGUUAGAGAAGCGGUAUAUAACCAAAAAGCCACGGCUAACUACGUGCCAGCAGACGCGGUAAUGC
Molecule: ribosomal RNA, 403 nt
Filed under: uncultured bacterium
Lineage: Bacteria
Description: partial 16S ribosomal RNA
Rfam family: Bacterial small subunit ribosomal RNA
Source: RNAcentral